GAACGGCUGGCGGCGUGCCUAAUACAUGCAAGUCGAACGGUCUUUCUAUGGAAGCUUGCUUCCACUGAGAAGAUAGUGGCGAACGGGUGAGUAACACGUGGGUAACCUGCCCAUAAGAGGGGGAUAACAUCCGGAAACGGGUGCUAAUACCGCAUAGUUUUCUUGAUUGCAUGAUUGAGAAAGGAAAGACGGCCUUUGUGCUGUCGCUUAUGGAUGGACCCGCGGCGUAUUAGUUAGUUGGUGAGGUAACGGCUCACCAAGACGAUGAUACGUAGCCGACCUGAGAGGGUGAUCGGCCACAUUGGGACUGAGACACGGCCCAAACUCCUACGGGAGGCAGCAGUAGGGAAUCUUCCGCAAUGGACGAAAGUCUGGCGGAGCAACGCCGCGUGAGUGAAAGAAGGUUUUCGGAUCGUAAAACUCUGUUGUCAGAGAAGAACAAGUUGGAGAGUAACUGCUCCAGCCUUGACGGUAUCUGACCAGAAAGCCACGGCUAACUACGUGCCAGCCGCGGC
This 515-nucleotide ribosomal RNA is filed under the name uncultured bacterium. Its description in RNAcentral is "bacterial SSU rRNA". It matches the Rfam family "Bacterial small subunit ribosomal RNA", at positions 35 to 518 of the family's 1533-position model. The record is from RNAcentral.